Molecule: long non-coding RNA, 510 nt
Filed under: Linum usitatissimum (flax)
Lineage: Eukaryota; Viridiplantae; Streptophyta; Magnoliopsida; Malpighiales; Linaceae
Description: long non-coding RNA (LUSI_LNC005365)
Source: RNAcentral
UAUCUUAAAGAAAAGGUUUAUGUGGUGGAGGGUGUCUUGUUCGUGAGGAAGUAAGAUUCCAUAUCCAUCCAACUCCCUCCAAGUGCGUUUUUCUUCCGAGUUCUGAGAAAGAAAGAAAGAAAGCGAUUUACUUUCUUUGUUUUGUUUUGUUUUCUUUUAUUAGAUAAGAAGAGGAAGAAGAGACAAGUAGCUAGCCUAGAGAUGUGACAUUGAGACAGAGGCAAUUAACUGUUGAUGGGAGGCAUCAUGGGCAAUUACACGUGUGGGUGGGUUUUGUUUUUGAAAUUUCUGCAAAUAAAAGUGUGGUAGAAGAAAGGCAGGCAGGCAGGCAGGCAAGAAAGAUCUCAUCAUCUACCAACAUCAAAUUGAUUGAUUGAUGUUGAAGAAGAAGAAGAAGAAGAAGAAGAAGAAGAAGGUGCCCUAUUGGUUGUUAGGUUGGCUGCUAGCUUUUCAAUUAUUAACAUUUGUUUGUUGUUUUGGAUAGACAGAAACAACAACAACGUAACAGCU